UCAGGAUGAACGCUAGCUACAGGCUUAACACAUGCAAGUCGAGGGGCAGCAUGGUCUUAGCUUGCUAAGGCCGAUGGCGACCGGCGCACGGGUGAGUAACACGUAUCCAACCUGCCGUCUACUCUUGGACAGCCUUCUGAAAGGAAGAUUAAUACAAGAUGGCAUCAUGAGUCCGCAUGUUCACAUGAUUAAAGGUAUUCCGGUAGACGAUGGGGAUGCGUUCCAUUACAUAGUAGGCGGGGUAACGGCCCACCUAGUCUUCGAUGGAUAGGGGUUCUGAGAGGAAGGUCCCCCACAUUGGAACUGAGACACGGUCCAAACUCCUACGGGAGGCAGCAGUGAGGAAUAUUGGUCAAUGGGCGAGAGCCUGAACCAGCCAAGUAGCGUGAAGGAUGACUGCCCUAUGGGUUGUAAACUUCUUUUAUAAAGGAAUAAAGUCGGGUAUGGAUACCCGUUUGCAUGUACUUUAUGAAUAAGGAUCGGCUAACUCCGUGCCAGCAGCCGCGGUAAUACGGAGGAUCCGAGCGUUAUCCGGAUUUAUUGGGUUUAAAGGGAGCGUAGAUGGAUGUUUAAGUCAGUUGUGAAAGUUUGCGGCUCAACCGUAAAAUUGCAGUUGAUACUGGAUAUCUUGAGUGCAGUUGAGGCAGGCGGAAUUCAUGCUGUAGCGGUGAAAUGCUUACAUAUCACGAAGAACUCCGAUUGCGAAGGCAGCCUGCUAAGCUGCAACUGACAUUGAGGCUCGAAAGUGUGGGUAUCAAACAGGAUUAGAUACCCUGGUAGUCCACACGGUAAACGAUGAAUACUCGCUGUUUGCGAUAUACUGCAAGCGGCCAAGCGAAAGCGUUAAGUAUUCCACCUGGGGAGUACGCCGGCAACGGUGAAACUCAAAGGAAUUGACGGGGGCCCGCACAAGCGGAGGAACAUGUGGUUUAAUUCGAUGAUACGCGAGGAACCUUACCCGGGCUUAAAUUGCAGAUGAAUUACGGUGAAAGCCGUAAGCCGCAAGGCAUCUGUGAAGGUGCUGCAUGGUUGUCGUCAGCUCGUGCCGUGAGGUGUCGGCUUAAGUGCCAUAACGAGCGCAACCCUUGUUGUCAGUUACUAACAGGUUCCGCUGAGGACUCUGACAAGACUGCCAUCGUAAGAUGUGAGGAAGGUGGGGAUGACGUCAAAUCAGCACGGCCCUUACGUCCGGGGCUACACACGUGUUACAAUGGGGGGUACAGAGGGCCGCUACCACGCGAGUGGAUGCCAAUCCCCAAAACCUCUCUCAGUUCGGACUGGGGUCUGCAACCCGACUCCACGAAGCUGGAUUCGCUAGUAAUCGCGCAUCAGCCACGGCGCGGUGAAUACGUUCCCGGGCCUUGUACACACCGCCCGUCAAGCCAUGGGAGCCGGGGGUACCUGAAGUGCGUAACCGCGAGGAGCGCCCUAGGGUAAAAC
Molecule: ribosomal RNA, 1440 nt
Filed under: uncultured organism
Description: SSU rRNA
Rfam family: Bacterial small subunit ribosomal RNA
Source: RNAcentral